CGCGUAGGCGGUUGUGAUAGUCAGGUGUGAAAUCCUUCGGCUUAACCGGAGAACUGCAUCUGAAACUUCAUAACUAGAGUACAGGAGAGGGAAACGGAAUUCCCGGUGUAGAGGUGAAAUUCGUAGAUAUCGGGAGGAACACCAGUGGCGAAGGCGGUUUCCUGGCCUGAUACUGACGCUGAGGCGCGAAAGCGUGGGGAGCAAACAGGAUUAGAUACCCUGGUAGUCCACGCGGUAAACGGUGAACACUAGGUGUGGGAGGUGUAAUACCUUCUGUGCCGAAGCUAACGCGUUAAGUGUUCCGCCUGGGAAGUACGGCCGCAAGGUUGAA
RNAcentral lists this ribosomal RNA (331 nucleotides) under uncultured bacterium. RNAcentral describes it as "bacterial SSU rRNA". It matches the Rfam family "Bacterial small subunit ribosomal RNA", at positions 568 to 898 of the family's 1533-position model. The record is from RNAcentral.